AUGGCGGCGGCGGGGCCGGUGGUGCUCCAGACGGACGUGCACUGCCUCGAGUGCGCCAGGAAGAUCAGGAACGCCGUCGGCAACCAGCUCGGGGUGGAGCGGGUGUGGGCGUCGCCGGACACGGGGCUGGUGGUGGUGGCGGGGACGGCGGACCCGGCGGCGCUCAGGCGCCGCAUCCGCCGCAAGAUGAGGAGGCCCGUCGCCAUCCUCAGCGACGGUUCGACGCCCUACGCGGGGCCGGGGCCAACCACGCCGCACUGGCACUACGGCACCGGCGACGCACCGCCCUCCUCAGUGCCGCCAUAUGGCUGGGGCACGGCGCCGCCGCCGCACGCCUACUACUCCUACCCUCCACCACCGCCGCCACCGCCCUCGCCGGCCGGGUACCCGUACGGCGGCUGGGCGUCCGAUCCGGACCCCUACGGUUACGGCACGCGCACCACGGUGCCCACGUGCUCCAUCCUGUGA
This 468-nucleotide ribosomal RNA is filed under the name Triticum aestivum (bread wheat). Its description in RNAcentral is "partial small subunit ribosomal RNA". Lineage: Eukaryota; Viridiplantae; Streptophyta; Magnoliopsida; Poales; Poaceae. The record is from RNAcentral.